This 306-nucleotide ribosomal RNA is filed under the name uncultured cyanobacterium. RNAcentral describes it as "bacterial SSU rRNA". It matches the Rfam family "Bacterial small subunit ribosomal RNA", at positions 434 to 756 of the family's 1533-position model. The record is from RNAcentral. Lineage: Bacteria; Bacillati; Cyanobacteriota.
UUUUUCAAGGAAGAAGCAAGUGACGGUACUUGAAGAAUCAGCAUCGGCUAACUCCGUGCCAGCAGCCGCGGUAAUACGGAGGAUGCAAGCGUUAUCCGGAAUCAUUGGGCGUAAAGCGUCCGCAGGUGGCCGAUCAAGUCUGCUGUCAAAGACCAGAGCUUAACUCUGGGCAGGCAGUGGAAACUGGUAAGCUAGAGUACGGUAGGGGUUGAGGGAAUUCCCAGUGUAGCGGUGAAAUGCGUAGAUAUUGGGAAGAACACCAGUGGCGAAGGCGCUCAACUGGGCCGUAACUGACACUCAGGACGA